AGGAGGGAGCUGCCGAAGGUGGGACCGAUAACUGGGGUGAAGUCGUAACAAGGUAGCCGUAUCGGAAGGUGCGGCUGGAUCACCUCCUUUCUAAGGAA
This 98-nucleotide ribosomal RNA is filed under the name Dorea formicigenerans. RNAcentral describes it as "partial 16S ribosomal RNA". It matches the Rfam family "Bacterial small subunit ribosomal RNA", at positions 1444 to 1533 of the family's 1533-position model. Lineage: Bacteria; Bacillati; Bacillota; Clostridia; Lachnospirales; Lachnospiraceae. The record is from RNAcentral.